UUAAAGAUCACAGAUAAUCCAAAACUCAGUGCCAAGUUCUCUAUUUAUAAUCGAGGAAUUAUUCACACAGAGGUAAACAAGAGCAAAGGACUGACAAGUGAACUGGAGGAGGAGAAUGAUGGGAAACAGACUGAGGGACCCAUACAUCUGCAUGCCUUCAACAGGCCUGGGUUCUCACCAGCACUCACUCAACCUUGGAUCCAGAGAACCCUUGAUGUUUUCCAGUCCCAGAAUCCUCUGGGACAGGCUGCCCAGAUGGCUGUUGGGAGUGAGCUGGCGAUCUUAAGCAGAGGCAGCCUAGUUCAGGGCCCUGGGUGCCAAGAUAGUCUCCAGAGACUCUUCUCCCCUCAGGGCCUCAGUCUAGACUCUGAGGAGAGCUCCCCCCAUUGACACCAUCAGGACCUCCAGCACUGGCUUAAGUGGCUUCCCUGUCCACUGCAGCAUUUGAUUUCAAGCUACAUGUGAAAAAACAGAGUCAUUGAGAGAAAGCAACUCACUGAAGGUCACGUGGGAAACAGCACAGAUAGGAAGAACCAGGCCUCCGAGUCACAGAAAGAUCUUCCAUUCAUCGGAUGAUGGAUUUCUACAGGCUGCAAGAAGACAAAGAACACAAGUGACAAGACACCUAGAAAAAGAUGUUCAAGACCUACAUGAAGCCCACCCAGGGUUCUCUUUGAAACUAUUGUUUGUUGAAGUUAUGGGGAAUAAAGUUUACACUCCCAUUA
This is a long non-coding RNA of Felis catus (domestic cat), 725 nucleotides long. RefSeq lists it as uncharacterized. The transcript has 4 exons. The record is from RefSeq and is a predicted model, not a curated record. NCBI's taxonomy places the organism in Eukaryota, Metazoa, Chordata, Mammalia, Carnivora, Felidae.